Molecule: ribosomal RNA, 534 nt
Filed under: uncultured Prevotellaceae bacterium
Lineage: Bacteria; Pseudomonadati; Bacteroidota; Bacteroidia; Bacteroidales; Prevotellaceae
Description: bacterial SSU rRNA
Rfam family: Bacterial small subunit ribosomal RNA
Source: RNAcentral
UUGGUUGCUUGCAACCGAUGAUGACGACCGGCGCACGGGUGAGUAACGCGUAUCCAACUUGGCUUAUACUUAGGGAUAACCCGUUGAAAGACGGCCUAAUACCUAAUAGUUUAUAAUAGUUGCAUGACUUUUAUAAUAAAGAUUUAUCGGUAUAAGAUAGGGAUGCGUCUGAUUAGUUAGUUGGUGAGGUAACGGCUCACCAAGGCAUCGAUCAGUAGGGGUUCUGAGAGGAAGGUCCCCCACAUUGGAACUGAGACACGGUCCAAACUCCUACGGGAGGCAGCAGUGAGGAAUAUUGGUCAAUGGACGUAAGUCUGAACCAGCCAGGUAGCGUGCAGGAUGACGGCCCUAUGGGUUGUAAACUGCUUUUAUGUGAGAAUAAAGUUAACUACGUGUAGUUAUUUGCAUGUAUCACAUGAAUAAGGACCGGCUAAUUCCGUGCCAGCAGCCGCGGUAAUACGGAAGGUCCAGGCGUUAUCCGGAUUUAUUGGGUUUAAAGGGAGCGUAGGCCGUUUGAUAAGCGUGCUGUGAAAU